AGUGAACGCUGGCGGUAGGCCUAACACAUGCAAGUCGAACGGCAGCACAGAGGAGCUUGCUCCUUGGGUGGCGAGUGGCGGACGGGUGAGGAAUACAUCGGAAUCCACUCUGUCGUGGGGGAUAACGUAGGGAAACUUACGCUAAUACCGCAUACGGCCUACGGGUGAAAGCAGGGGAUCUUCGGACCUUGCGCGAUUGAAUGAGCCGAUGUCGGAUUAGCUAGUUGGCGGGGUAAAGGCCCACCAAGGCGACGAUCCGUAGCUGGUCUGAGAGGAUGAUCAGCCACACUGGAACUGAGACACGGUCCAGACUCCUACGGGAGGCGGCAGUGGGGAAUAUUGGACAAUGGGCGCAAGCCUGAUCCAGCCAUACCGCGUGGGUGAAGAAGGCCUUCGGGUUGUAAAGCCCUUUUGUUGGGAAAGAAAUCCAGCCGGCUAAUACCUGGUUGGGAUGACGGUACCCAAAGAAUAAGCACCGGCUAACUUCGUGCCAGCAGCCGCGGUAAUACGAAGGGUGCAAGCGUUACUCGGAAUUACUGGGCGUAAAGCGUGCGUAGGUGGUUAUUUAAGUCCGUUGUGAAAGCCCUGGGCUCAACCUGGGAACUGCAGUGGAUACUGGAUGACUAGAAUGUGGUAGAGGGUAGCGGAAUUCCUGGUGUAGCAGUGAAAUGCGUAGAGAUCAGGAGGAACAUCCAUGGCGAAGGCAGCUACCUGGACCAACAUUGACACUGAGGCACGAAAGCGUGGGGAGCAAACAGG
This 759-nucleotide ribosomal RNA is filed under the name uncultured Stenotrophomonas sp. RNAcentral describes it as "bacterial SSU rRNA". It matches the Rfam family "Bacterial small subunit ribosomal RNA", at positions 28 to 776 of the family's 1533-position model. Lineage: Bacteria; Pseudomonadati; Pseudomonadota; Gammaproteobacteria; Lysobacterales; Lysobacteraceae. The record is from RNAcentral.